CACCUCUUGACAUAAUAUAAGAGGCCCAGCCUGCCCGGUGACAAAGUUUAACGGCUACGGUACCCUGACCGUACGAAGGUAGCAUAAUCACUUGUUCCUUAAAUAGGGACCUGUAUCAACGGCAUCACGAGGGCUGCACUGUCUCCUCUCUUCAAUCAGUGAAACUGAUCCCCCCGUGAAGAAGCGGGGAUUAAGCCAUAAGACGAGAAGACCCUAUGGAGCUUUAAACAAGUACUCACACUAUACUUACACGUCCCUUAACUAAAAGCCCUGAGUACAAGUUUUAGGUUGGGGAGACCGCGGAGAACAAUUAAACCUCCACGACAAACGGCCCUUAAGUCCUUAUCCACGAGCCACAGCUCUAAGAAUCAAUAUACUGAUGAUUAUGACCCGAUACUAUUCGAUUAAUGAACCAAGUUACCCUGGGGAUAACAGCGCAAUCUACUUCAAGAGUCCAUAUCGACAAGUAGGUUUACGACCUCGAUGUUGGAUCAGGGUAUCCUUGUGGUGCAGCAGCUACUAACGGUUCGUUUGUUCAACGAUUAAAAC
This is a ribosomal RNA of 549 nucleotides. It matches the Rfam family "Bacterial large subunit ribosomal RNA", at positions 1819 to 2594 of the family's 2925-position model.